This is a long non-coding RNA of Cyclopterus lumpus (lumpfish), 1270 nucleotides long. RefSeq lists it as uncharacterized. The transcript is spliced from 3 exons. Lineage: Eukaryota; Metazoa; Chordata; Actinopteri; Perciformes; Cyclopteridae. The record is from RefSeq and is a predicted model, not a curated record.
AUCUUGCUCAAAAUAGAUCCCCUUCAUCUUCACUUGACCUAGAAUUUGGGCAUUGAGGGUUUUCCACCCAACCCUGUUGUUACCUGCUACUGAACAAUUGAGGAGAAAUCAGGGACAUUUAGCGGUUAGACGAUCAUCAGCCUUGGCUGUAACCCAAAGUAGCCUGCAAAAACCGGUCUGGAGCUGGUGUUUACGCGACCCUGGAGGAAAAAAAGAGGAACGUAAAGGAACUGCUAGAGACCUCUGAGCUGUGGUGUCCAGUGUAGUGAACGGCCACAUCAGGACCCCGGGAACCUCAUCUUCAUCCUCAGACCCUGAGUGACCACAGAGAGAGGUCAUGACUUGUGGCCUCACAGCGGGGGGAAUCUUCUCUUGCAAUAAAACAGCAGAUGACAAAUGUACACUAGAAAAGGGUUGUAAAGAUAGUCCAGUUUGCAGCCAAUGAUGGAGCCGGCCUUCUUCACCAGUUUAGUGAGUCGGUUGGUGUCACCGGCUCCAAUGCUGCUCCCCCAGAAGACUAUGGAGAAGUCCAGAGCACUGGUCACCACAGACUGGUAGAACAUCUCCAACAUCUUGCCGCACACAAAGGAUCGAAGUUUCCUCAAGAAAAAGAGUUGACUCAUCCCCUUCUUGUACACAGCGUUGAUGUUGGCCUUCCAGUUCAGUCUGUUUUCGAUGGUGACACCCAGGAACGUGUAUUCCACCACCAUGUCCACAUCCUCUCCCAGAACGCUCAGCGGUUGUGGAGCUGUCGUCUUCCUCCUGAAGUACACCACCAUCUCUCUGGUCUUGGCCACGUUCAGAAGCAGGUGAUUUCUGCCGGCCCACUCCACAAAGUCAUCCACCACUCCACUUCCCGUCCGUCCUUAAUACACCCAACCAUAAAUUAAUAUGAUGAAUAUGUCUCGAAAUUCUUAAAUGCAGAAGAGGAACAAGGUAACAGUGACUGUAACACAGUAUACUCUUCUUGCUCUCAGUUAUUUGAUUCAGGGACAUUCUAGAAACAAAAGGAGAAUUUACACUGAAGACAAAUUAAAUGAUGUCACAUUGCUAACAGAUGUUCUUUUUGAAAACUCAGAAGCCAGAGUCUUAAAAGACUAAUGAUUUCCCUGACAGCAUCAGCAGGAAUUGCCACAUUGCACCAAACAAAGAGCUGCAACCAUGAGUACUGAAUGUUCACAGUCAUUGUUUGGCCCGUCUUAUGUCUCACCCUUAACCAAACCAACCAACCCAGCCUUACAGGUCCUUUACAAGUACCUCAAAUGGCAGG